GCAGACGUCCCUUCCCCAGCCAGGCUGCCACCUCGCAGUUCAAUCUCAGACUGCUGUGCUAGCAGUGGGGAAGGCUCCGUGGGCAUGGAAACUGCCGAGCCAGGCACAGUAGAGAAUCACCUUGUCUGCCGGUUGCUAAGACCUUUGGAAAAGUGCAGUAUUUGGGUGAGAGUGUCCUAUUUUUCCAGGUACAGUCUGUCACGUCUUCCCUUGGCUAGGAAAGGGAAAUCCCCCGACCCCUUACACUUUCCGGGUGAGGCAACGCCCCACUCUGCUUCAGCUCACCCUCCAUGGGCUGCACUCACCUUCCAACCAGUCUCAAUGAGAUGAACCAGGUACCUCAGUUGGAAAUGCAGAAAUCACCCGUCUUCUGCGUCAAUCACGCUGAGAACUGCAGACCAGAGCUGUUCCUAUUUGGCCAUCUUGGAACCGGUCUGAGUCUGUUUUAGCCAGAUCAAGUACUUGGUGAGAGAACCUUUGUGGGAGCGCAGAAGUCCAGCAGAGAGACCCUAGCACUUUAUUUGGACCAAAAAAUAAAUAAUAAAUAAAUAAAUAAAUAAAUCCAAAACUAGAUGCAUUAAAGAAGGUGUUAGACUUCUCCUAUGGAGAAUGCAGCAAGAAAAUACCAUCUUGAAGCAGAGAGCAGCGCUCAUCAGGCAUCAGUCCUUCUGGAGCCUUGAUCUUGGACCUCCCAGCUCCAAAAUAAUAAGUAAUAAAUUGUUAUUGCUUAUAAAUU
This 736-nucleotide long non-coding RNA is filed under the name Homo sapiens (human). RNAcentral describes it as "non-protein coding lnc-RMDN2-3:9". The record is from RNAcentral. Lineage: Eukaryota; Metazoa; Chordata; Mammalia; Primates; Hominidae.